AAGGAUUCUGUUCAGCUUGACAUCAAGAACCAUCAGAAAGUGACACCAUUGCUGUUAGCUGUCUCUAUUGGCCACCUCGGAAUGGUGCACCAGUUGAUAGCAAAAGGUGCAGACGUAAAUGUUGUCAAUAAUGAAGGCAACAAUUGUCUGCACCUGGCUGUGAAGAGGAGGUGGAGGUUUCAUUCCGAGGUUGAACCUUUAAGUAUUUUAGAUAAGGUAAGUUUGGAAAUUGUUUAUGAAUAUCUGUGUGUGUGUGUGUGUGUGUGUGUGUGUGUGUGUGUGGUUUUGAAAGAAGGAGAGUGAGAGAGCGAGAGAGACAGACAGACAAACAUUGACUGUCAUGUCUCAAUUCACACUCAUCAACCUUUCUUUUAAGUAAUCCAGUCCCCUACCUGAUAGCCUUAGUUAUAUUUUGUAACUAGGAAAAUUCCAUCUCCUGCUACCCUCAAAGCCAUGGCCUCUCUACCACAAAGAAGGUAGCCUAUCUUGGACAUUGGUCAUAUAAACACAGCCAUUACUGUGUAGAGAAGAGGUGACCUCCUGAAGAGAGGAAAUAUUCCUUAAUAAUAAUGAUACAGGUGACAUGAUAAAAGAUAACCUUUAUGGUGCUGGUGCCAUGAUAAAUACAUCCAGUUCAUUCCAUGAAGAAUUCUUCAAAAGGAGAGAUAUCAUAUAUGCUCUGGCGUUCUGUGGAAAUGCCAUAACAAUGUUGAAUCUCAGAACACUAGAGAAUGGAUACAAUGAAUUAGGGUCCUUAGGGAGUUUUCCCUGCAUUUAAGAAUUGUAUGUACAACUACACACACACACACACACACACACACACAUAUGUAUAUAUAUAUGUAUAUGUAGAUGGCAACGGCUAAAUGUAUGUAUGUGUGCGUGUGUGUAAAACUAUCGACCUAUAUAUAUAUAUAUAUAUAUAUAUAUAUAUAUAUGAUAGAUCACUGGCCACUUCUCAUUCUUUAUUUUCUCUCCUUAUUUAUUUCUGUGUUGCUUUGUGUGGAAGAGCGUAGGCUCGAAACGUUAAAAUCUUUUUUUGUCUACGCUACUUGUCUUCGUCUUUUUUUGUGAAUUCUCCCUAUAUAUAUAAAUAUAUAUAUAUAUAUAUAUAUAUAUAUAUAUAUAUAUAAUAUAUAUAAAAACGGCGGUGCAUCACCAUGGCCGCAGCUCUGAGCUGAAACUUUAUAUAUAUAUAUAUAUAUAUAUACAUAUACAAAUCAUGCAAAGGCAUUCACAUCUAUCCAUCACUAUUGUUAACCGUUGCAGAAUUCAAGCAACUCCCUGCUUCCCGCAUAAAUAAAGGACACUAGAUAUGUGGGACUAUUUCUUCAAACAGUUGAUGAUUAUCUGUGUAUUGUAGUAACGUCUACUUUGGUGUGAGAAACCAGUGACCUCUCCACCUACUGGAAUUUUCCAUCCGACAAACAGUUUGAACAGUUUAUCAACUAUAAUGUGUUGGUGCACAAACUCAAUCGUGACACCAGUUCGUUCUUCUCUUUCGUCACAUUCAUCAUCAAAACAUUUUUUUUAUUAAUUCAUCAUCAUCACGUUUUUCUAUGCUGGCAGACGUUGCACUCUUUGACAUGAACUGGCCAGCUGAGGAGCUAUCAGGGCUCCAUGUCUGUUUCCGUGUGCUUUCUAUGACUCAGUCCUUUGUCAUCUGCUCUGUGCGGCCCAAUGUCUAAUGGUCCUUUCUCACCACUUAAUCACACGUCUUCCUGGGUCCACCCCUUCCGCACUUUCCUUCCACAAUUAAAGAUCUGCACUUCUUGAUGCAGCUGUCUUCAUCCAUAUGCAUUACAUAAUAAUACCAUCGCAGUCUUCUCUCUCGCACACAACAUCCGAUGCCUUAUAUAUCCAGCUUUUCUUUCAAAUCCACUUAAUUAAGGAAACAUUAUUGAUCUGUUUAGAUAUGUCUGUGUGUUUUUAAUUUAGUUGUUAUGCUUGAGGGCCUUGUUAUGUUGUUGGUAUUAUCUUUUCUGGUAUAACUUACAAUAUUUGGGUUGUUAUAUUUAUAUAUACAAUACUCUUCCGUAAGUAUUUCUCUUGCUAUGGCCAUUUGGCUCUAUCAAGCCAGUUGUAGAGAUAGGUUCUUGUUGGUUUGUUGUCUUUCAUUAUUGAGACAUUUCUGUCCUUAUACGUUGUAUAUUUGACUUGAUGUUAUAAUAACUUUAUAUUGUGUUUUAAUUGAAUAGUUUGUGACAUUUGUGAUUGGCAAGUAAAUAUUUACUCAUUAAAUAUCAUUGUUAAGCAAUAACGUUGACCACUAAUGUGCGUUUUGUUCAAUAUAAUGAUCAUAAUUUUUGUCUUAAUGUAGAACGUAAAGUAAAAACAAAUGAUAAUGAAAAGUGGACUCAACUAAUAGAUGAUGUAAGAAAUCAACGCUGUGUGAAUAGUUUAAUCACUGGGGAAACAAACUAUGUGUAAAUGUAGUUGAACUGUUGUGUAAUUUGGGGCAUCUUUAGUAUAUGUUUGUGUAAUCUUUAACUCAUCAUUUUAUAUUUCAUCAUUUGUAGUUCUGCGUAGAGCUGAAACUGGGAAACGAAGAAAGGUGCUCUGGUGUGGUAGUUGCCAGCUACCUAGCCCACCACGGGGCCAACUUUUACUGUAAAAACAAAAUUGGCAGAACACCAUUGGACCUAAUAAAAAAGGAAAAUUUAAAAAAGAUGUUAAAGACGUUAUUCCCACCGCAGUAAGUAUUCACUGGCAAUGACAAGAUAAACCAUUACAUUUUCUGUUUUGUAUAUAACCGUGUUUAUAUGUUUAU
Molecule: long non-coding RNA, 2767 nt
Filed under: Octopus vulgaris (common octopus)
Lineage: Eukaryota; Metazoa; Mollusca; Cephalopoda; Octopoda; Octopodidae
Source: RNAcentral